RNAcentral lists this ribosomal RNA (460 nucleotides) under uncultured bacterium. RNAcentral describes it as "partial 16S ribosomal RNA". It matches the Rfam family "Bacterial small subunit ribosomal RNA", at positions 338 to 795 of the family's 1533-position model. The record is from RNAcentral.
CCUACGGGUGGCAGCAGUGAGGAAUAUUGGUCAAUGGGCGCGAGCCUGAACCAGCCAAGUAGCGUGAAGGAUGACUGCCCUACGGGUUGUAAACUUCUUUUAUAAAGGAAUAAAGUGAUGCACGUGUGCCUUUUUGUAUGUACUUUAUGAAUAAGGAUCGGCUAACUCCGUGCCAGCAGCCGCGGUAAUACGGAGGAUCCGAGCGUUAUCCGGAUUUAUUGGGUUUAAAGGGAGCGUAGAUGGGUUGUUAAGUCAGUUGUGAAAGCUGGCGGCUCAACCGUAGAAUUGCAAUUGAUACUGGCAGACUGGAGUACAGGUGAGGUAGGCGGAAUUCGUGGUGUAGCGGUGAAAUGCUUAGAUAUCACGAAGAACACCGAUUGCGAAGGCAGCUUACUAAACUGCCACUGACAUUGAUGCUCGAAAGUGUGGGUAUCAAACAGGAUUAGAUACCCGAGUAGUC